Molecule: ribosomal RNA, 433 nt
Filed under: uncultured bacterium
Lineage: Bacteria
Description: partial 16S ribosomal RNA
Rfam family: Bacterial small subunit ribosomal RNA
Source: RNAcentral
AACGAACGCUGGCGGCAUGCCUAACACAUGCAAGUCGAACGAGACCUUCGGGUCUAGUGGCGCACGGGUGCGUAACGCGUGGGAACCUGCCCUUAGGUUCGGAAUAACUCCCCGAAAGGGGUGCUAAUACCGGAUAAUGUCUUCGGACCAAAGAUUUAUCGACUUUGGAUGGGCCCGCGUUGUAUUAGCUAGUUGGUAGGGUAAAAGCCUACCAAGGCGACGAUCCAUAGCUGGUCUGAGAGGAUGAUCAGCCACACUGAGACUGGGACACGGCCCAGACUCCUACGGGAGGCAGCAGUGGGGAAUAUUGGACAAUGGGCGAAAGCCUGAUCCAGCAAUGCCGCGUGAGUGAUGAAGGCCUUAGGGUUGUAAAGCUCUUUUACCCGGGAUGAUAAUGACAGUACCGGGAGAAUAAGCUCCGGCUAACUCCGUG